Molecule: ribosomal RNA, 836 nt
Filed under: Fimicolochytrium jonesii
Lineage: Eukaryota; Fungi; Chytridiomycota; Chytridiomycetes; Spizellomycetales; Powellomycetaceae
Description: eukaryotic LSU rRNA
Rfam family: Eukaryotic large subunit ribosomal RNA
Source: RNAcentral
GCUCAAAUUUGAAAUCUCACAAGGUCACUUGUGCGAAUUGUAGUUUAGAGAAACGUUUUCGGGGGCGACGUGGGUAUAAGUCCUUUGGAAAGAGGCAUCAUAGAGGGUGAGAAUCCCGUUUAUGAUCCACUGUUCGCUCCUAUGUGAUACGUUUUCCAAGAGUCAUGUAGUUUGGGAUUGCUGCAUAAAAUGGGUGGUAAAUACCAUCUAAAGCUAAAUAUUGGCGGGAGACCGAUAGCGAACAAGUACCGUGAGGGAAAGAUGAAAAGAACUUUGAAAAGAGAGUUAAACAGUACGUGAAAUUGCCAAAAGGGAAACGCUUGGAACCAGUAUUGCUUUCAGGUAAUCAACUUCACGUCCCGCAAGGGUCGCGUGGGGUGCACUUGCUUGCAAGCGAGCCAACAUCAGUUUGGUUUGGGGUAAAAAGCCGGAGGAAGGUAGCUUGAACUUCGGUUUGAGUGUUAUAGCCUCCGGUCAUGCCUUGGGCCAGACUGAGGUCUGCAGCGUUAUUUGGAUUCCCGGUUGCCUCUUGAGACCAACCCUAGACAGCACGCUGACUAGGGUGACGUUUAGAGAGCUCAGCCGGUUCAUCACACCUACGCUUAGGAUGUUGGCGAAAUGGUUCCAAACGACCCGUCUUGAAACACGGACCAAGGAGUCUAACAUAUAUGCGAGUAUUUGGGUGGCAAACCCUCAUGCGCAAUGAAAGUGAACUUAGGUGGGAUCUUCGGUGCACCAUCGACCGGUCUGGAUUUUUUUUGAUAGAUCUGAGUAAGAGCAUACAUGUUGGGACCCGAAAGAUGGUGAACUAUGCCUGAAUAGGGUGAAGCCAGAGG